UGGGGAAUAUUGGACAAUGGGGGAAACCCUGAUCCAGCGACGCCGCGUGAGUGAAGAAGUAUUUCGGUAUGUAAAGCUCUAUCAGCAAGGAAGAAAAUGACGGUACUUGACUAAGAAGCCCCGGCUAACUACGUGCCAGCAGCCGCGGUAAUACGUAGGGGGCAAGCGUUAUCCGGAUUUACUGGGUGUAAAGGGAGCGUAGACGGUUAGGUAAGUCUGAUGUGAAAGCCCGGGGCUCAACCCCGGGAUUGCAUUGGAAACUAUUUAACUAGAGUGCAGGAGAGGUAAGUGGAAUUCCUAGUGUAGCGGUGAAAUGCGUAGAUAUUAGGAGGAACACCAGUGGCGAAGGC
Molecule: ribosomal RNA, 350 nt
Filed under: uncultured bacterium
Lineage: Bacteria
Description: bacterial SSU rRNA
Rfam family: Bacterial small subunit ribosomal RNA
Source: RNAcentral